RNAcentral lists this small nucleolar RNA (182 nucleotides) under Exserohilum turcica Et28A. Lineage: Eukaryota; Fungi; Ascomycota; Dothideomycetes; Pleosporales; Pleosporaceae. The record is from RNAcentral.
UGGUCUCUUGCCUCGCUCAAUUUGCUGUUCCAUCAGCAGAUUUCGAGCUGGAUACGUACACGUCGCUUCUUUCUAGACAGAGACGUGCCCGUACGAGACAAGAGUAAUUUGCGACGAUCUUUGAGUACGGAACCGCCUGAUUCCAUGUGUCGGACCUCCGUAAUUUAUCUGUCGCGACAUAU